GGUAUCCUACGGGGGGCAGCAGUGAGGAAUAUUGGUCAAUGGUCGGGAGACUGAACCAGCCAAGCCGCGUGAGGGAUGAAGGUACAGAGUAUCGUAAACCUCUUUUGUCAGGGAACAAAGGCGGGGACGUGUCCCCGGAUGAGUGUACCUGAAGAAAAAGCAUCGGCUAACUCCGUGCCAGCAGCCGCGGUAAUACGGAGGAUGCGAGCGUUAUCCGGAAUUACUGGGUGUAAAGGGAGCGUAGACGGUGAAGUAAGUCUGGAGUGAAAGGCGGGGGCCCAACCCCCGGACUGCUCUGGAAACUA
RNAcentral lists this ribosomal RNA (305 nucleotides) under uncultured bacterium. RNAcentral describes it as "bacterial SSU rRNA". It matches the Rfam family "Bacterial small subunit ribosomal RNA", at positions 333 to 635 of the family's 1533-position model. The record is from RNAcentral.